GCAGCAACAAAAUUUCUGUGAAUUUCCAGGGAUUAUAGGCAGGCAUUCUCCGAACUUGUAUCCUUGAAUCGAACAUAUUGCCACAUAGCAAGUCUUGUCGUUGAAAGACCCGUCACAUAUCUGAUGAAAACAUUUAUUUUCACCUGCAUCAAGAAUUUCAUAUUUCUAAUUAACAGCUAUCCUAAAUUUUCAAAAAAUUAAAACUCUUGAAAUUAAAAACAAAUUUACCUCCAAGUGCAUUUGCUGUGGUGAUAAGUAGGACAAAAAUGAACACCAUCUUCUGUGACACCAUUUUGCACUUGAAUUAUUAUUAGACUAUGA
RNAcentral lists this long non-coding RNA (321 nucleotides) under Daucus carota (carrot). RNAcentral describes it as "long non-coding RNA (DCAR_LNC006265)". The record is from RNAcentral. Lineage: Eukaryota; Viridiplantae; Streptophyta; Magnoliopsida; Apiales; Apiaceae.